GAUGAACGCUAGCGACAGGCUUAACACAUGCAAGUCGAGGGGCAGCACGGGAGUAGCAAUACAACUGGUGGCGACCGGCGCACGGGUGAGUAACGCGUAUGCAACCUACCUAUCAGAGGGGAAUAACCCGGCGAAAGUCGGACUAAUACCGCAUAAAACAGGGACACCGCAUGGUGAUAUUUGUUAAAGAAAUUCGCUGAUAGAUGGGCAUGCGUUCCAUUAGGUAGUUGGUGAGGUAACGGCUCACCAAGCCGACGAUGGAUAGGGGAACUGAGAGGUUGGUCCCCCACACUGGUACUGAGACACGGACCAGACUCCUACGGGAGGCAGCAGUGAGGAAUAUUGGUCAAUGGGGCGAGAGCCUGAACCAGCCAAGUCGCGUGAAGGAAGAAGGAUCUAUGGUUCGUAAACUUUCUUUUGCAGGGGAAUGAAGUGCAGGACGUGUCCUGUUUUGUAUGUACCCUGAGAAUAAAGGAUCGGCUAACUCCGUGCCAGCAGCCG
This 501-nucleotide ribosomal RNA is filed under the name uncultured bacterium. RNAcentral's name for it is "bacterial SSU rRNA". It matches the Rfam family "Bacterial small subunit ribosomal RNA", at positions 28 to 517 of the family's 1533-position model. The record is from RNAcentral.